CCUACGGGAGGCAGCAGUGAGGAAUAUUGGUCAAUGGACGCAAGUCUGAACCAGCCAUGCCGCGUGCAGGAAGACGGCUCUAUGAGUUGUAAACUGCUUUUGUACGAGGGUAAACGCAGAUACGCGUAUCUGUCUGAAAGUAUCGGACGAAUAAGGAUCGGCUAACUCCGUGCCAGCAGCCGCGGUAAUACGGAGGAUUCAAGCGUUAUCCGGAUUUAUUGGGUUUAAAGGGUGCGUAGGCGGUCGGAUAAGUUAGAGGUGAAAUCCCGAGGCUCAACUUCGGAAUUGCCUCUGAUACUGUUAGGCUAGAGAGUAGUUGAGGUAGGCGGAAUGUGUGGUGUAGCGGUGAAAUGCUUAGAGAUCAUACAGAACACCGAUUGCGAAGGCAGCUUACCAAGCUACUUCUGACGUUGAGGCACGAAAGCGUGGGGAGCAAACAGGAUUAGAUACCCCUGUAGUC
RNAcentral lists this ribosomal RNA (460 nucleotides) under uncultured bacterium. RNAcentral's name for it is "partial 16S ribosomal RNA". It matches the Rfam family "Bacterial small subunit ribosomal RNA", at positions 338 to 795 of the family's 1533-position model. The record is from RNAcentral.